GCAGCGAAACGCGAUAGUUAAUGUGAAUUGCAGAAUUCAGUGAAUCAUCGAGUCUUUGAACGCACAUUGCGCCCAUUGGUAUUCCGAUGGGCAUGUCUGUUUGAGCGUCAUUACAACCCUCGGCUCCAGCCGGUUUUGAGCACGCCUCGGCCUCACCGCCAGGCUGGCUUUAAAGUUGUAAGCUCUGCUGACCGCUCCUGCCGAACCAGAACAUAGUAAACACCAUACUUGUUCGCAAGGCGAGGCUCUGGCGGUUCGGCCUGAACAAAACCUACCAAACCUAAGGUUUGACCUCAGAUCAGACAAGGAUACCCGCUGAACUUAAGCAUAUCAAUAAGCGGAGGAAAAGAAACCAACAGGGAUUGCCUCAGUAACGGCGAGUGAAGCGGCAACAGCUCAAAUUUGAAAUCUGGAGUCUUUCGGCUUCCGAGUUGUAAUUUGAAGAGGAUGCUUCGGACCGGCCUUGGCCUAAGUUCCUUGGAACAGGACGUCAUGGAGGGUGAGAAUCCCGUACAUGGCUGCAGGCUUGGUCCAUGUG
This 538-nucleotide ribosomal RNA is filed under the name uncultured Orbiliaceae. RNAcentral's name for it is "eukaryotic LSU rRNA". The stretch from base 289 to 538 matches the Rfam family "Eukaryotic large subunit ribosomal RNA", at positions 1 to 248 of the family's 3401-position model. The record is from RNAcentral. Lineage: Eukaryota; Fungi; Ascomycota; Orbiliomycetes; Orbiliales.